This 366-nucleotide ribosomal RNA is filed under the name Lacticaseibacillus paracasei. RNAcentral describes it as "bacterial SSU rRNA". It matches the Rfam family "Bacterial small subunit ribosomal RNA", at positions 1 to 357 of the family's 1533-position model. The record is from RNAcentral. Lineage: Bacteria; Bacillati; Bacillota; Bacilli; Lactobacillales; Lactobacillaceae.
AUUAAAGAGAGUUUGAUCCUGGCUCAGGACGAACGCUGGCGGCGUGCCUAAUACAUGCAAGUAGAACGCUGAGAACUGGUGCUUGCACCGGUUCAAGGAGUUGCGAACGGGUGAGUAACGCGUAGGUAACCUACCUCAUAGCGGGGGAUAACUAUUGGAAACGAUAGCUAAUACCGCAUAAGAGAGACUAACGCAUGUUAGUAAUUUAAAAGGGGCAAUUGCUCCACUAUGAGAUGGACCUGCGUUGUAUUAGCUAGUUGGUGAGGUAAAGGCUCACCAAGGCGACGAUACAUAGCCGACCUGAGAGGGUGAUCGGCCACACUGGGACUGAGACACGGCCCAGACUCCUACGGGAGGCAGCAGUAG